RNAcentral lists this small RNA (27 nucleotides) under Bombyx mori (domestic silkworm). Its description in RNAcentral is "ovarian small RNA-23000". Lineage: Eukaryota; Metazoa; Arthropoda; Insecta; Lepidoptera; Bombycidae. The record is from RNAcentral.
UAGUCGAUGAAAUAAUUUGGCCAAUGC